Molecule: ribosomal RNA, 572 nt
Filed under: uncultured bacterium
Lineage: Bacteria
Description: partial 16S ribosomal RNA
Rfam family: Bacterial small subunit ribosomal RNA
Source: RNAcentral
UGGGGAAUCUUCCGCAAUGGACGAAAGUCUGACGGAGCAACGCCGCGUGAGUGAAGAAGGUUUUCGGAUCGUAAAACUCUGUCUUUUGGGGCGAACGUGAGUAUGGUGAACAAUCAUAGUCAGUGACGGUACCAAAGGAGGAAGCCACGGCUAACUACGUGCCAGCAGCCGCGGUAAUACGUAGGUGGCAAGCGUUGUCCGGAAUUAUUGGGCGUAAAGAGCGCGUAGGCGGGAUAGUCAGUCUGUUGUAAAAGUGCGGGGCUCAACCCCGUGAUCGCAAUGGAAACAGCUAUUCUUGAGUGCAGGAGAGGAAAGUGGAAUUCCCAGUGUAGCGGUGAAAUGCGUAGAUAUUGGGAGGAACACCAGUGGCGAAGGCGACUUUCUGGACUGUGUCUGACGCUGAGGCGCGAAAGCCAGGGGAGCGAACGGGAUUAGAUACCCCGGUAGUCCUGGCCGUAAACGAUGGGUACUAGGUGUGGGAGGUAUCGACCCCCUUUCCGUGCCGGAGUUAACGCAAUAAGUACCCCCGCCUGGGGAGUACGGUCGCAAGACUGAAACUUAAAUGAAUUGAC